UACGUAGGGCGCAAGCGUUGUCCGGAAUUAUUGGGCGUAAAGAGCUCGUAGGCGGUCUGUCGCGUCUGCCGUGAAAACCCGAGGCUUAACCUCGGGCUGGCGGUGGAUACGGGCAGACUAGAGGUAGGUAGGGGAGAAUGGAAUUCCCGGUGUAGCGGUGAAAUGCGCAGAUAUCGGGAGGAACACCGGUGGCGAAGGCGGUUCUCUGGGCCUUACCUGACGCUGAGGAGCGAAAGCGUGGGGAGCGAACAGG
Molecule: ribosomal RNA, 253 nt
Filed under: uncultured bacterium
Lineage: Bacteria
Description: partial 16S ribosomal RNA
Rfam family: Bacterial small subunit ribosomal RNA
Source: RNAcentral